GAGCACGUAGGUGGGUUUGUAAGUCAGAUGUGAAAGCCUUCUGUUCAACGGAAGAAUUGCACCUGGAACUGCGAGUCUUGAGUGUAGAAGGGGAGAAUGGAACUUCUGGUGGAGCGGUGAAAUGCGUAGAUAUCAGAAGGAACGCCGGCGGCGAAAGCGAUUCUCUGGCCUAUUACUGACACUCAGUGUGCGAAAGCUAGGGGAGCAAACGGGAUUAGAUACCCCGGUAGUCCUAGCCGUAAACGAUGGGCACUAAGUAGAGGGGUUUUAA
Molecule: ribosomal RNA, 271 nt
Filed under: uncultured anaerobic ammonium-oxidizing bacterium
Lineage: Bacteria
Description: partial 16S ribosomal RNA
Rfam family: Bacterial small subunit ribosomal RNA
Source: RNAcentral